Molecule: non-coding RNA, 110 nt
Organism: Podarcis lilfordi (Lilford's wall lizard)
Lineage: Eukaryota; Metazoa; Chordata; Lepidosauria; Squamata; Lacertidae
Source: the annotation of a GenBank genome assembly
GGCCCCAUUACCUUCAGUAGCUUAGGGCCUCAUCAGAUGUUUUGUUUUGUGCAUAUAUACACAAAACAAAACAUCUGAUGAGGCCCUAAGCUACUGAAGGUAAUGGGGCC